RNAcentral lists this ribosomal RNA (569 nucleotides) under uncultured bacterium. RNAcentral's name for it is "bacterial SSU rRNA". It matches the Rfam family "Bacterial small subunit ribosomal RNA", at positions 708 to 1263 of the family's 1533-position model. The record is from RNAcentral.
CCCAGAAGCGAAGGCGGCCCCCUGGAUCGACACUGACGCUGAGACGCGAAAGGCGUGGGUAGCCAAACAGGAUUAGAUACCCCUGGUAGUCCCACGCUGUAAACGAUGGGCACUAGGUGUUGGCUCCCGCCACGGGCGGAGUCGGUGCCGCAGCUAACGCAUUAAGUGCCCCGCCUGGGGAGUACGCUCCGCAAGGGUGAAACUCAAAGGAAUUGACGGGGGCCCGCACAAGCGGUGGAGCAUGUGGUUUAAUUCGAUGCAACGCGAAGAACCUUACCGGGGCUUGAACUGCCAGGUAACCCCCAUGAAAGUGGGUCUGCUCUUCGGAGCAACCUGGUAGAGGUGCUGCAUGGCUGUCGUCAGCUCGUGUCGUGAGAUGUUCGGUUAAGUCCGGCAACGAGCGCAACCCUUGUUCCUAGUUGCCAUCAGGUGAUGCUGGGCACUCUAGGAAGACUGCCGGCGAUAAGCUGGAGGAAGGUGGGGAUGACGUCAAGUCCUCAUGGCCCUUACGUCCCGGGCUACCACACGUGCUACAAUGGCUGGUACAACGGGCAGCGAGACCGCGAGGU